This 492-nucleotide ribosomal RNA is filed under the name uncultured bacterium. RNAcentral's name for it is "partial 16S ribosomal RNA". It matches the Rfam family "Bacterial small subunit ribosomal RNA", at positions 29 to 507 of the family's 1533-position model. The record is from RNAcentral.
AGUGAACGCUGGCGGUAGGCCUAACACAUGCAAGUCGAACGGCAGCACAGUAAGAGCUUGCUCUUACGGGUGGCGAGUGGCGGACGGGUGAGGAAUACAUCGGAAUCUACUUUUUCGUGGGGGAUAACGUAGGGAAACUUACGCUAAUACCGCACACGACCUACGGGUGAAAGCAGGGGAUCUUCGGACCUUGCGCGACUGAAUGAGCCGAUGUCGGAUUAGCUAGUUGGCGGGGUAAAGGCCCACCAAGGCGACGAUCCGUAGCUGGUCUGAGAGGAUGAUCGGCCACACUGGAACUGAGACACGGUCCAGACUCCUACGGGAGGCAGCAGUGGGGAAUAUUGGACAAUGGGCGCAAGCCUGAUCCAGCCAUACCGCGUGGGUGAAGAAGGCCUUCGGGUUGUAAAGCCCUUUUGUUGGGAAAGAAAAGCAGCAGGUUAAUACCCCGCUGUUCUGACGGUACCCAAAGAAUAAGCACCGGCUAACUUCGUG